AAAGUGUACUCAAUAUCCUUUCCACUUCUACUAUUAUCAAGCUUGAUGACCAACACAUUGUUGACAAACAACGAGAAAUAUGAGUCAUUGCUAAAAGUUCAAAAAGCCCUCAACAUCCUCCCCCCGCCUUUGUCAAAUUUGAGUCAGCUGUAGGUCAAGGACCAUGAGGUGGAUACCAACCCCCCUCCCCCCUCCCUCCUCCCUCCCUUUUAUCUGUCAAUUUGUCAAUUUGAGUCAGCUGUAGCAAGGACCAUGAGGUGGAUGCCAAUAUCAGUGGGUUGAAUGGCGGAAAGUGUACUCAAUAUCCUUUCCACUUCUACUAUUAUUAAGCUUGAUGACCAACACAUUGUUGACAAACAACGAGAAAUAUGAGUAAUCCGUCUGUCAGUUUUAUAUAAUCCCUCAGCCCAAGCGCUCAGCGCUGAUCCACAGAGCAAAGUAAUCAAUAUCUUUGGCAUAGAUGGAUUCCGAGAGCCUAACUCUUCGACCAUUCAGGGUAAGCGAUGUGGAUGACUUAAUGCUGUGGGCGGGCGAUGAGCAAGUCACUCGAACCAUCCGAUGGAAGACCAUCACCUCUAAGGAGGAAGCCUUGACCUUCAUCAAAGAAGUCUGCAUCCCCCACCCUUUUUAUCGAUCCAUAUGCAUAGAUGACCGCUCCAUCGGCUUUGUUUAUGUCAUCAGGGGGUCGGGCGCCGACAGACAGAAGGCGAGCAUGGGGUAUGGUGUAGCUGCAAAGUAUUGGGGGCAGGGGAUUGCCACCAAAACUGUGAAGAUGGUUAUAUCAGAGGUGUUCAAGGACUUCCCUGAUCUGGUAAGGUUGCAAGCAGUUGCUGUGGUGGAGAACAUUGCUUCUCAGAGGGUGUUGGAGAAAGCUGGAUUCACCAGGGAGGCUUUACUCAGGAAACACUCAUUUCUGAAGGGCCAAUUGAAAGACUUGGUGAUAUAUAGUCUUUUGUCCACUGAUUCGAAUGGGGCCGUGGAUGAUGAAGUAUGAGAAAUAGCAUCAUGUAUUUGUAUAAUGGGAUAUUAUUUUUAAUGGAAAAUGGGUAACUAAUUCCUCUCACAGACUCCAUUUUGCUUAGGAGUAUAAGUUACAGUAAGCUGAUGUUCAAUCCUUGCAGCUUCACAAAACUUAGCAAAUUUGUCAGCAGCAUAUUCAGUCCCAUUAUCAGACCUAAUCACCUUAAUUCUACAACCACUUCGAUUUUCAAUCCAUGUUUUGAACUUCCAAAACACACCAGCAACCUCAAACUUCUAUUUAAGAAAACAAACCCAACAUUUUUUGCUAAAGUCAUCAAUAAGAACCAUAAAAUACAUGUUACCACUUAAGGAUGCAAUCCUCAAAGUUUCAGAAACAUCAAUGUGGAUCAAUUAAAGCUUCUCAACUACCCUCCAUGCCUUGUUAACAAUAAAUGGCAAUUUGGCUUGCUUUCCAAGCUGAUAAACUCCACACACUGCUGCUCCUUCUCCAUUGUAAGUCAUUCCUCAUACAAGAUCCUUUUUCUACAUGUAAUCCAAUACAAAAUAGUGAAAAUGCCCCAUCCUCUUGUGCCAUUACUCAACCUGGUCCAAAGGACAUGGAUAUGCACUAGACUCAUCCUUGUUCCAAUUUAGACCGAAACUUUUGCUAUUCAUUUUCACAGAAAACAGAACACACCAUCUGAGUCAGCAAUCACACACAUUUUAUUCUUAAACACAAUAGAAUAGCCUUUCUCAAGCAAUUGUCCCACACUCAGCAGCUUUUGAUCAAUUUUAGGAAUAAGUAAAUACAUAAGAAAUUAGCUUUAUACCCUGUUGAGCCUUUUAUUGCAAUAGUCUCUUUACCUUUCACCUCAAUAUACUGCCCAUUGUCAAUUCUAACUGUUGACACCUCUGACUUGUUUACUUCGUUGAAAAGGAUUCAUCAAAAGACAUGUGGUUUGUGCAUCCACUGUUUAUAAGCCAAUCAUCACUUGAACUGCUACUAGAAAAACAAGAUGCAACAAAAAGUUGCUCCUCCUAGUGUUGAUCCACUGCUUGAGCUUGGUGUUCUUCUUGUUGUUUGUUUUUACACACCCUCUCCAUAUGCCCCAAUUGUUUGCAUGCCCUGCACUGAAUUUAGGUUUAAACCAACAUUUUUUCUUCAAAUAAGAGGUUUUCUUACAAUAAGGACAUAGAGGGUGAUUGCCCUUGCUACCUCCAUUGUUGUUGCUUUCCCCUUUCUUGCUGUUCUUCUUACUCCACUGUUUCUUUUCUUUGUUGCCUCCUUGAGCUUGAUCAGCCUCUUUCACUUGAAAUGCUCUCUCAAUUGUCUCAUCUUUUCUAUAAGCUCUCCUUUGCUCUUGAGCUUGUAGUACAUUGAUGAGUUCUGCUAAUGUUAUUAUUGACAGAUCUUUGGACUCUUCAAGUGAAGAGAUUUUGGAUUCAAAUCUCUCAGGCAAGGUCACCAAAAUCUUCUCUACUACCCUUAUGUCAGAGAAUUCUUCCCUUAGCAUCUUAAUAUUGUUGGCCAAUAUCAACAUCCUGUCUGUAUAGUCCUUAACUGCUUCUAUCUCCUCCAUUUUCUGCAUUUCAAAUUCCCUCAUCAGGUUCAAGACCUGUUGCUUUGUCUUAAUGUUUCCUUGAUAUUCAUCUUUCAAAAGAUCACAUGCCUGUUUUGCUGUUUAACAUGCCAUGAUCUUUGUAAAUAUUGUCUCUGAAAUUGUAGAGUGGGUGCAGGUCUUGGCCUUAUAUCUCCUCUUUCUUUCCUCUCUGUUGUUCUUGAUCUAUGCUAUUGUUGUAUCCUCAGGAUCUGUUUCCACCAAGUCCCACAAGUCACAUGCUUGCAGGUAUGACUUCAUUUUCACAGCCAAUAUUUGGUAAUUUUCUCCUAUGAAAACUGGAGGUGCAGACAAGAAAUUAUUUCCUGUCAUAUUAGGUUUCAAGAUGAAGGCUAGGUGUUUGAUUUGUUGUGGUUUGUCUCUCAUUGGAUACACACACACUUCACAGGUUCCUAAAGAAAGAGGGCUCUGAUACCACUUUGUAGGUUUUUUAGAGUAAGAACAAUAAAAUAAUAAACACAGAAAUUUGGGCUGAAAAUUGCAUGUCUUGCAAAAUCUAAAUUUAUACAGGAAAAGAAAUAAACAAAGCCAAAAAAUCUACCUACAUAUUUUCAACGGAUUUCUAAUAGCAUUACCAAGUCAACUAUGAAUUCAAAAAAUUCUAAUUAAAAAAAAAUUGUUCUUGCAAUCUUGCAUAAUAUUCUCAACAGAAUACCAACCUUACUGGUUUAUUUUAGCCCAAAUCUUGUAACAAAUAUAGCACUUGUCAUCAUUGACACAUGGUGAACCAUGAUUCAAUUAUUUUUCUUGUUCAAUGAUGGAUUCGAUUAUUAAAACGUUGAUUAUAACAAAGUUAAGGGUUGAAAAAAGAAAUGAGAAAAAGUGGUUUUUUCAAUUAAGAUUAAAAAAAAUCACUUAGUCCAUUAAGACAAAAUUGUAUAAAAAAAGAUGAUUAAAAAAAAAGUGAUUCUAGGAGUAAAGCUUGCUUUAAACCCUUAAGCCACCCCCUAGAUAAGUAAAUUUGAAUCAGCUGAUUGCUCAAGGACCAUGAGGUGGAUACCAAUAUCAUUGGUUCAAAUGGAUUCGGUUCAAUGGUAGAUGGUGUACUUAAUAUUCUUUCCAUAUAUUAUUAUUGAGUAGGAGGACCAAUACCAUGUUAACCAAACAACGAGAAUUUAACAUAUGAAAUUCACAUGAAACAAACUACACCAGUAAACGAGAGAGAGAACGUUCAAUAUUAUAAUAUGGGCAUCCAUCUGUCAGUUUUAUAUAAUCCCUCAGCCCAAGCGCUUAGUGCUGAUCCACAGAGCACAGUAAUCAAUAUUUUUGCAAUAGAUGGACUCCGAGAGGGUUACUUUUCGACCAUUCAGGGUCAGCGAUGUGGAUGACUUCAUACUGUGGGCGGGCGAUGAGCAAGUCACUCGAACCAUCCGAUGGAAGACCAUCACCUCUAAGGAGGAAGCCUUGACCUUCAUCAAAGAAGUCUGCAUCCCCCACCAUUUUUGUCGAUCCAUAUGUAUAGAUGACCGCUCCAUCGGCUUUGUUUUGGUCAUCAGGUGGUCGGGCGCCGACAGACAUAAGGCGGA
This 4105-nucleotide long non-coding RNA is filed under the name Vitis vinifera (wine grape). Its description in RNAcentral is "long non-coding RNA (VVIN_LNC004507)". Lineage: Eukaryota; Viridiplantae; Streptophyta; Magnoliopsida; Vitales; Vitaceae. The record is from RNAcentral.